This 253-nucleotide ribosomal RNA is filed under the name uncultured bacterium. RNAcentral's name for it is "partial 16S ribosomal RNA". It matches the Rfam family "Bacterial small subunit ribosomal RNA", at positions 524 to 776 of the family's 1533-position model. The record is from RNAcentral.
UACGUAGGGUGCGAGCGUUAAUCGGAAUUACUGGGCGUAAAGCGUGCGCAGGCGGUUCGUUGUGUCGGCGGUGAAAGCCCCGGGCUCAACCUGGGAAUGGCAUUGGAAACUGGCGAGCUAGAGUGUGGCAGAGGGGGGUGGAAUUCCGCGUGUAGCAGUGAAAUGCGUAGAGAUGCGGAGGAACACCGAUGGCGAAGGCAGCCCCCUGGGCUGACACUGACGCUCAGGCACGAAAGCGUGGGGAGCAAACAGG